Molecule: ribosomal RNA, 272 nt
Filed under: uncultured soil bacterium
Lineage: Bacteria
Description: partial 16S ribosomal RNA
Rfam family: Bacterial small subunit ribosomal RNA
Source: RNAcentral
AGAAUCAACGCUGGCGGCGUGCCUAACACACGCAGGUCGAACGCGAAAGGGGCGCAAGUCCUGAGUAGAGUGGCAAACGGGUGAGUAACACGUGGGUGACCUGCCUUCGAGUGGGGGAUAACGUUCCGAAAGGAACGCUAAUACCGCAUGACAUCCUGCGUUUGGAGACGCGGACAUCAAAGCUGGGGAUCGCAAGACCUGGCGCUCGGAGAGGGGCCCGCGGCUGAUUAGCUAGUUGGUGGGGUAAUGGCUCACCAAGGCGACGAUCAGUA